AGAGUUGUGAUCCUGGCUCAGAGCGAACGCUGGCGGCAUGCUUAACACAUGCAAGUCGAGCGGGCGUGAGUAAUACGUGCAGCGGCAGACGGGUGAGUAACGCGUGGGAGCAUUACCUUUUGGUUCGGAACAACACAGGGAAACUUGUGCUAAUACCGGAUAAGCCCUUACGGGGAAAGAUUUAUCGCCGAAAGAUAUUGGCCCGCGUCUGAUUAGCUAGUUGGUGAGGUAACGGGCUCACCCAGGGCCGAACCGAAUCAGGUAAGCCUGGGUUCCUGGAAGAAGGGAAUUGAAUUCCAGGCCCCCACCCAUUUUGGGGGGAACCUUGGAAAGAAACCACCCAGGCCCCCCCCAAAAACCCUCCCCCUAACCGGGGGGAAGGGGGCCAAGCCCAGGNUGGGGGGGGAAAAUUUAUUUUUGGGAAACCAAAUUGGGGGGC
This 439-nucleotide ribosomal RNA is filed under the name uncultured bacterium. RNAcentral describes it as "partial 16S ribosomal RNA". It matches the Rfam family "Bacterial small subunit ribosomal RNA", at positions 8 to 443 of the family's 1533-position model. The record is from RNAcentral.